UACGUAGGUGGCAAGCGUUGUCCGGAAUUACUGGGCGUAAAGCGUGCGCAGGCGGUUCGUUGUGUCGGCGGUGAAAGCCCCGGGCUCAACCUGGGAAUGGCCGUUGAAACUGGCGAACUGGAGUGUGGCAGAGGGGGGUGGAAUUCCGCGUGUAGCAGUGAAAUGCGUAGAGAUGCGGAGGAACACCGAUGGCGAAGGCAGCCCCCUGGGCUAACACUGACGCUCAGGCACGAAAGCGUGGGGAGCAAACAGG
This 253-nucleotide ribosomal RNA is filed under the name uncultured bacterium. RNAcentral describes it as "partial 16S ribosomal RNA". It matches the Rfam family "Bacterial small subunit ribosomal RNA", at positions 524 to 776 of the family's 1533-position model. The record is from RNAcentral.